GCGGCGGGGCGGGCCGCGGGCUCGGCGUGAGGCGGGCGGCGGCGGGGCCGGGCCGGGCGCCGGGAGUCGCGGCCCCGCUGGACCCGCCGCGGGGCCUUGCGGGAGCAGCAUGGCCGCCAGCCUGUGGAUGGGGGACCUGGAGCCAUAUAUGGAUGAAAACUUUGUUUCAAGAGCCUUUGCCACCAUGGGAGAGCUUGUACUGAGCGUAAAAAUCAUUCGAAACAGGUUGACAGGAAUUCCAGCAGGCUAUUGCUUUGUAGAAUUUGCAGAUCUAGCUACUGCAGAGAAAUGUUUACACAAAAUCAAUGGAAAACCGCUUCCUGGUGCUACACCGGCAAAGCGAUUUAAACUGAAUUAUGCAACGUAUGGAAAACAGCCUGAUAACAGUCCAGAAUAUUCCCUUUUUGUGGGAGACCUGACUCCUGAUGUGGAUGAUGGCAUGUUAUAUGAAUUCUUUGUUAAAGUUUAUCCCUCGUGUAGAGGUGGCAAAGUCGUUUUGGACCAGGCAGGAGUAUCCAAAGGUUACGGGUUCGUGAAGUUCACGGAUGAGCUGGAGCAGAAAAGAGCACUGACAGAGUGUCAAGGAGCUGUCGGGUUGGGCUCCAAACCUGUACGCUUGAGUGUGGCUAUACCAAAAGCUAAUCGUGUGAAAGCAAUGGAGUACAAUCAGAUGUACAACUAUAAUUAUAACCAGUAUUACCAACAAUAUCACAACUACUACGCGCAGUGGGGCUAUGACCAGAACACGGGCAGUUACAGCUACAGCUACCCCCAGUAUGGAUACACCCAGAGCACAAUCCAGACAUAUGAAGAAGUUGGUGAGGAUGCAUUGGAAGUUGCUGUUCCUAGUCUGAACCUUCACCUACGGUCCCCAGCCAUCCCCAGCAGCCGCUCUGACCCUGUAGUGGAGGGAGCAGAACGGACCAUGUGCCUGCGCCUCCGCUCCGCCACUUGGCAGUCGGUGCCUUAGUGCUACCCACCUUCUUUGGCAGUUUAAGUGGCUACCCUGGGCUGCGAGGUGCAGAUCCAACACCUCAGCUAGACGUCCAUGAAGCAAAUAAACAGUUUAUGGAACAGAGUGAAGAGCUCUAUGAUGCCUUGAUGGACUGUCAUUGGCAGCCUUUGGACACUGUCUCCUCAGAGAUUCCAGCCGUGUUAUAGCCUCAGGCUGAGGCACUGUGUCUGUGUGACAAGCCCGCCAGCGUGCUCCAGACUGUUAAUGCUGCACCAGGACCCUGCAGUAGUGAGGGGUGGCCCUUUCUCCACCCAGGUCUGUUACUCGAAGUACAGGAGGACUGUGGCCUUCCCUGUACGGAAUGAGUAUCAUAGGAGCAUCAUGGUAAACUUUUAUUCAUGGUGAAAGUUAGAACUGCAACAGUUUUAUUCCUUUUGUCUUGAAAUGAACUCUGAAUACUUAUUGGGGAAUUGUAAUUUAUAAACUCUCAGCGAGAUGGCACAGGGGAAAGACUCUACUCCAACGUACAAUAAAAAAGUUGGUCUUUUAAGUAAAAUUACCCUUUGCUUUUUGGUUCCUGCCCAUCUUUCUGGUUUGCUGCCCAUUUAACCAUCUUCAGUUCUCUGAUCCAACUCCCACGAAUGUGUUCUUUUAAAGAAUCAUUGCUGGAUACCACUAACGUAUUGCACAGUGACUGGGUAAGGUUGCUGUAACUUGAGGACGGGGAAGAACCACGUAGAUGAAAGCUUAUGUUCUCUUUGAGCUAGCACGUUUAGAGCUCGGUGUUCUUAAUCUACCUGAAGAGCUUUUUGGAGAGUAAAGACAGAAAGGAGAGUUGUAAAACUACUACAGACCGAUGCCUCCUAUCUGGUGAUCUCUCUCACGUUUGGCUUGCUUCUCCACUUGUCUCUGAGGAAACAAUUCCCCAUCAGCCAACCAGUUUAAAACACUUUUACCAGCAGCCUUGUUUAAAUGUUAUUUUGUGUCUUAUGCCUUUUUUUCAUUGUGGAUGAAAAAUGGUCUCAUUCAGAUGAUGAGAUUUCACUUCCACUGUCCUGUCAGAGUGCAUCUGGUGAAACUGAAGAUCCUGCAGCAAAAACGGGUCAGAGCAAUUGCCAUAUUGUGCAACAAAUUGUUGCUAGCCUGGAAAGCAGUUUUCUACUGGAUGUUGUAUAAGCUGGAUGAACAAGCAAUAUAUUUAAGCUAAUAUUAUGUUGCAUUAGAGGUGAAAGCAAAAAUAAUCGCACUUCUGUACAUGUUCUAAGCCCUUUCCAGGCUUUUGUGCCUUAAACUCUUGGAGAAAUAGGAACAGAAACUACCUGUAAUAAAUGUCUAUCCAAGAAAUCGUUUGGUAACUGAAAUUGCUGCUGCAAAGCAUUUCGUUGCCUCCCUGCCCAUGUUGAUGCAGAGAUUUGCCACGAGAUUUCAAUACUUUCAUAAAGCCUAAUUCUACUA
Strigops habroptila (Kakapo) is the source of this 2410-nucleotide RNA transcript. It is a transcript of the gene named tRNA selenocysteine 1 associated protein 1, with no coding region annotated. The transcript has 11 exons. The record is from RefSeq and is a predicted model, not a curated record. NCBI's taxonomy places the organism in Eukaryota, Metazoa, Chordata, Aves, Psittaciformes, Psittacidae.